CAGUAGCCGCGGGAAUACGUAGGUGGCAAGCGUUGUCCGGAAUUAUUGGGCGUAAAGGGCUCGCAGGCGGUUUCUUAAGUCUGAUGUGAAAGCCCCUGGCUCAACCGGGGAGGGUCAUUGGAAACUGGGAAACUUGAGUGCAGAAGAGGAGAGUGGAAUUCCACGUGUAGCGGUGAAACGCGUAGAGAUGUGGAGGAACACCAGUGGCGAAGGCGACUCUCUGGUCUGUAACUGACGCUGAGGAGCGAAAGCGUGGGGAGCGAACAGGAUUAGAUACCCGCGUAGUCCCUGUCUCUUAUAC
RNAcentral lists this ribosomal RNA (301 nucleotides) under uncultured bacterium. Its description in RNAcentral is "partial 16S ribosomal RNA". It matches the Rfam family "Bacterial small subunit ribosomal RNA", at positions 509 to 807 of the family's 1533-position model. The record is from RNAcentral.